GAUGAACGCUGGCGGCGUGCUUAACACAUGCAAGUCGAACGGAAAGGCCCCGGCUUUGUGGGGUACUCGAGUGGCGAACGGGUGAGUAACACGUGGGUGACCUGCCCUGCACUUCGGGAUAACUCUGGGAAACUGGGGCUAAUACCGGAUAGGAGGUCCGUCUGCAUGCCGUUGUGUGGAGUUUUUCGGUGGGGGAUGAUCUCGCGGCCUAUCAGCUUGUUGGUGGGGUAAUGGCCUACCAAGGCGUCGACGGGUAGCCGGCCUGAGAGGGUGUACGGCCACAUUGGGACUGAGAUACGGCCCAGACUCCUACGGGAGGCAGCAGUGGGGAAUAUUGCACAAUGGGCGGAAGCCUGAUGCAGCAACGCCGCGUGGGGGAUGACGGCCUUCGGGUUGUAAACCCCUUUCGCUAGGGACGAAGCGUGAGUGACGGUACCGGGUAAAGAAGCACCGGCUAACUACGUG
Molecule: ribosomal RNA, 465 nt
Filed under: uncultured bacterium
Lineage: Bacteria
Description: partial 16S ribosomal RNA
Rfam family: Bacterial small subunit ribosomal RNA
Source: RNAcentral